This 172-nucleotide non-coding RNA is filed under the name Robertmurraya massiliosenegalensis. RNAcentral's name for it is "Lysine riboswitch". It matches the Rfam family "Lysine riboswitch aptamer". Rfam says of the family: Riboswitches are metabolite binding domains within certain messenger RNAs that serve as precision sensors for their corresponding targets. The record is from RNAcentral. Lineage: Bacteria; Bacillati; Bacillota; Bacilli; Caryophanales; Bacillaceae.
GGGGUAGAGGUGCAUAAUUUAAAAGUAGGCUAUGUGAGGAUGACAACGUUGAGCAUAGCUAAAAGGAAAUUGUGCCGAAGUAAUAGAGUUGUGUCAGCGACUUAUUACUGGGGUUACUUUGAAUAAGAGUAACACUGUCAUUAUGGGAUAUCCAUAAUGGGGAGCUACAGGU